Molecule: microRNA precursor, 72 nt
Filed under: Lotus japonicus
Lineage: Eukaryota; Viridiplantae; Streptophyta; Magnoliopsida; Fabales; Fabaceae
Description: miR11068c stem-loop (lja-MIR11068c)
Source: miRBase by way of RNAcentral
AGCAUCUCUAAUGCAAGGUUCUUAGUUCUUAUUUUUUAGUUAAGAACUAAGAACUUUACCAUUGGAGGUGCU